AUACGGAGGGGACUAGCGUUGUUCGGAAUUACAGGGCGUAAAGAGUACGUAGGCGGUCUAUCAAGUUGGGUGUGAAAGCCCGGGGCUCAACCCCGGAACUGCACUCAAAACUGAUAAACUAGAGAUCGGAAGAGGUAAGUGGAAUUCCCAGUGUAGAGGUGAAAUUCGUAGAUAUUGGGAAGAACACCAGUGGCGAAGGCGGCUUACUGGUCCGAGACUGACGCUGAGGUACGAAAGCGUGGGGAGCAAACAGGAUUAGAUACCAUAGUAGUCC
This 274-nucleotide ribosomal RNA is filed under the name uncultured bacterium. RNAcentral describes it as "partial 16S ribosomal RNA". It matches the Rfam family "Bacterial small subunit ribosomal RNA", at positions 523 to 796 of the family's 1533-position model. The record is from RNAcentral.